RNAcentral lists this ribosomal RNA (253 nucleotides) under uncultured bacterium. Its description in RNAcentral is "partial 16S ribosomal RNA". It matches the Rfam family "Bacterial small subunit ribosomal RNA", at positions 524 to 776 of the family's 1533-position model. The record is from RNAcentral.
UACGUAGGGGGCAAGCGUUGUCCGGAAUCAUUGGGCGUAAAGCGCGCGUAGGUGGCCCGGUAAGUCCGCUCUGAAAGUCAAAGGCUCAACCUUUGAAAGCGGGUGGAUACUGUCGGGCUAGAGUCCGGAAGAGGCGAGUGGAAUUCCUGGUGUAGCGGUGGAAUGCGCAGAUAUCAGGAGGAACACCAACGGCGAAGGCAGCUCGCUGGGACGGUACUGACGCUGAGGUGCGAAAGCGUGGGGAGCAAACAGG